Long non-coding RNA from Hyla sarda, 1447 nucleotides. RefSeq lists it as uncharacterized. The transcript has 2 exons. The record is from RefSeq and is a predicted model, not a curated record. Lineage: Eukaryota; Metazoa; Chordata; Amphibia; Anura; Hylidae.
ACAUGGCCCCAUUCAUUCUUUCCUUUACAUGGAUCAGUCAUCCUGGUCCCUUAGCAGAAAAAACAGCCCCAAAGCAUAAUGUUUCCACCACCAUGCUUCCCAGUAGGUAUGGUGUUCUUUGGAUGCAACUCAGCAUUCUUUUUCCUCCAACCAUGAGUUGAGUUUUUACCAAAAAGUUCUACAUUGGUUUCAUCUGACCAUAUGACAUUCUCCCAAUACUCUUCUGGACCAUCCAAAUGCUGUCUAGCAAACUUCAGACGGGCCCAGACAUGUACUGGCUUAAGCAGGGGGACACGUCUGGCACUACAUGAUUUGAGUCCCUGGCGGCAUAGUGUGUUACUGAUGAUAGCCUAUGUUACUUUGGUCCCAGCUCUCUGCAGGUCAUUCACUAGGUCCCACAUGUGGUUCUGGGAUUUUUGCUCACUAUCCAAAGAAAAGGAAACAAUACAAUAUGUGUUGGCACUGCGACUAGGACACAAACAGUCUCUGUGAUAAUGGAGCAAUCACCCCCGCUACUCACGGAUCCUCCGCCUGACACCGGUGCUCAUCCAGAAAACGCAGAGUAAACUCAUGAAGAAAGAUACGGAGGCACUCGAGUCUGCUGCGGCGCUGCUCAUGUUCUAAAAACCUAGGACAUCCUGUGCCUGUCGUCAUGGACCUCAAAUGUUCUUUUAUCCUUAUAUGUAAGGGUCUUAUUGUCUUUCCGAUAUAAUAUUUUUUACAACUACAAACCAAGGCAUAAACGACAAAACUUGUUUUACAAAUGAUGAUAUAAUUAACUUUAAUAAUAUGUGCAACUAGUUGUAUUUCUUUUUGAUUGUAUAACAUAUGACCUAAAUUACAUUGUCCACAUUUAAAGUUGCCUGACGGCAGUUGUUUUUGCAGCCAGUUCGAUUUUAUAUUUUCCUCUUCCUUUUCUAAUCUGUUCUUGACCAAUAAGUCUCUCAGACUUUUGGUCCUUCUGAAUGACACUAACGGUUUAGUAUGUAAGGUGUCUUAAUACCUCGUCAUUGUGUAAAAUAUGCCAACUUUAAAAAAUGGACGACCGAAUGACUUUUUCCAUGGGACUAAACUCAAACGAAAAAUGAUUUUGGUUAUUAGUACCGGGUUUUUUUCUUUUCGUUUUUUAUGCAGCAUUUGGCAGCAUGGGAUGGCUAGUGCUCUAUCAUAAGCUUCUUAUCAAUUAAAGCAGGUAACUCCUGUCUUUUAGUCUCUGACAUAAUUCAUUGGCCUGUUGUUUAAAUGUAUUUUCACCAGUAUUAUUCCUCCGCAACCACACCAUCUGACCAUAAGGUAGUGAUUCUUUAACAUGGUAAGGAUGGUAACUGUCAUAUCAUCAUAUAAAUAGGAAGGGGAGUGGAAGGACGUCAGAGGUCAUUGAUUAAGUGAACGAUUCGUCGACCAGGCUUCUGUAUUACCUGUACUUGAAUAAACUCACAGCAGCAGA